RNAcentral lists this ribosomal RNA (253 nucleotides) under uncultured bacterium. Its description in RNAcentral is "partial 16S ribosomal RNA". It matches the Rfam family "Bacterial small subunit ribosomal RNA", at positions 524 to 776 of the family's 1533-position model. RNAcentral also lists the same sequence under 1 other name. The record is from RNAcentral.
UACGGAGGGUGCAAACGUUGCUCGGAAUCAUUGGGCGUAAAGCGCACGUAGGCGGUCUCUUAAGUCGGGUGUGAAAGCCUCGGGCUUAACCCGAGAAGUGCAUUCGAAACUGAGAGGCUGGAGUACGGAAGGGGGUCUCGGAAUUCCCGGUGUAGAGGUGAAAUUCGUAGAUAUCGGGAGGAACACCAGUGGCGAAGGCGGAGACCUGGGCCGAUACUGACGCUGAGGUGCGAAAGCGUGGGGAGCAAACAGG